CCAAGACUUCCCUUUGGUCUUUGCUUCCUGCCAUAAUCAAUGAGAAGAUGACAAAGGCAAUACCCAGAAGAUCUCAUUUGAAACCUGCAGAUAGGGAAGGGAGGCCUUGGACAUACAAGACUCCAGAAAAUGGCUAUAACCACCUAAGUUCACCACAGAGCUGUGGCCCUCAUAAUCCAUCUCAUUCCCACUUUGAAGCCUGGCUGACUUGGGGUGUUCUUGGUCCCCCACUGUAGAAGCCUGCAACCAUGACGCCAUCUGUCAUCCUGUGACACAACAGAAGGCCUUCACAGUAGCCAAGCAGAAAUCAGCUCCAUGCCUUUGGAUCUCUGAAAUUUCGAGUUAAAGAAAUCUAUACUUUGCAGAAUAUUUACUCUGAAGCAUUUUGUCAUGUCAAUGAAAAAUUGAUUAAUGCAUCACUGCUAUGAGUACUUGGGUUAUUGUCAAAGUUUUUAAUAUACACAAAAAUUUUAAAAAUAUGUUCUUAAGUGAUAUAUGAGCAC
Molecule: long non-coding RNA, 503 nt
Organism: Fukomys damarensis (Damara mole-rat)
Lineage: Eukaryota; Metazoa; Chordata; Mammalia; Rodentia; Bathyergidae
Exons: 3
Source: RefSeq, a predicted model, not a curated record